This is a long non-coding RNA of Stylophora pistillata, 393 nucleotides long. RefSeq lists it as uncharacterized. NCBI's taxonomy places the organism in Eukaryota, Metazoa, Cnidaria, Anthozoa, Scleractinia, Pocilloporidae. The record is from RefSeq and is a predicted model, not a curated record.
ACUUACAUAAAGUCAGAAAGAUUCUUGCAGGAAAGCAAUGGCAGAUAAUGGAAGCGAGAAGGAUACAAACAAACCAUGGACCACUAGCAAAGAAUCUGAUCGAGAGCCAAAAGAUAUUGCUAAAGGACGCUAUGGUCUCCCUGAGAAAGCUACGGUAACGGUUGGGGUUACGAAAGAGAGAAUGCCAUUUGGUAAGAAGGAUGGAUUGAGCUAUAGCAGCAGUAGCAAGUGUACUAUUAGUUGAUGUCAUUACUGAACAAGAGCUUUUAGUGUAAAGCACCGAUGUUACUUAACUCUUGCUUCUUAGAAAAAGACUUUUUGAUCUCCUAGAUAACUAGUAGAGUUACAUUUGAAAGAUGCAUUAAAGAAGUGGAUGCGUCAUCCAAAUCUAUC